GUGAAUCAUCAAAUCUUUGAACGCAAAUUGCGCUUUCUGGUAUUCCGGAAAGUAUGCCUGUUUGAGGGUCAGUUAAAUAAAAAUCGGUAUUGUUUCUGCCUUUCGUGGUUGCGCGCCGGAAGUGGGUUGUGUUACCUUCGGUUAAGUGACUGGAAAUUUUGCGUGAUUGUCGAUCGUAUUUCAAUUUCUUACUUACGUUUGAGAUAUCGAAUGCUUUAUGAAGUUCGGUCAUACUCAUGAUUCGCACCUAUAAUUUUUCAUUAAAUGGCCUCAAAUCAGGUAAUAAUAC
This 289-nucleotide unclassified non-coding RNA is filed under the name Glomus sp. Its description in RNAcentral is "partial contains 5.8S ribosomal RNA and internal transcribed spacer 2". The stretch from base 1 to 71 matches the Rfam family "5.8S ribosomal RNA", at positions 84 to 154 of the family's 154-position model. The record is from RNAcentral. Lineage: Eukaryota; Fungi; Glomeromycota; Glomeromycetes; Glomerales; Glomeraceae.